GACGAACGCUGGCGGCGUGCUUAACACAUGCAAGUCGAACGGUGAAAGCGGAGCUUGCUCCGCUGGAUCAGUGGCGAACGGGUGAGUAACACGUGGGCAACCUGCCCCUCACUUCGGGAUAACUCCGGGAAACCGGGGCUAAUACCGGAUAUGACCUCCUUGGGCAUCCUUGGAGGUGGAAAGUUUUUCGGUGAGGGAUGGGCCCGCGGCCUAUCAGCUUGUUGGUGAGGUAGUGGCUCACCAAGGCGACGACGGGUAGCCGGCCUGAGAGGGCGACCGGCCACACUGGGACUGAGACACGGCCCAGACUCCUACGGGAGGCAGCAGUGGGGAAUAUUGCGCAAUGGUCGAAAGCCUGACGCAGCAACGCCGCGUGCGGGAUGACGGCCUUCGGGUUGUAAACCGCUUUCAGCAGAGAAGAAGCCGCAAGGUGACGGUACCUGCAGAAGAAGCACCGGCUAACUACGUGCCAGCCGCCGCGGUAA
Molecule: ribosomal RNA, 485 nt
Filed under: uncultured bacterium
Lineage: Bacteria
Description: partial 16S ribosomal RNA
Rfam family: Bacterial small subunit ribosomal RNA
Source: RNAcentral